RNAcentral lists this ribosomal RNA (511 nucleotides) under uncultured Glomus. Its description in RNAcentral is "SSU rRNA". It matches the Rfam family "Eukaryotic small subunit ribosomal RNA", at positions 569 to 1081 of the family's 1831-position model. Lineage: Eukaryota; Fungi; Glomeromycota; Glomeromycetes; Glomerales; Glomeraceae. The record is from RNAcentral.
AGCAGCCGCGGUAAUUCCAGCUCCAAUAGCGUAUAUUAAAGUUGUUGCAGUUAAAAAGCUCGUAGUUGAAUUUCGGGAUCAGUAGGUCGGUCGUGCCACUGGUAUGAACUGGUCUCACUGGUUCCUCCCUCUUGACGAACUGCAAUGCUAUUAAUUUAGUGUAGUAGGAAAUCAGGACUGUUACUUUAGAAAAAAUUAGAGUGUUUAAAGCAGGCUUUGGCUUGAAUACAUUAGCAUGGAAUAAUGAAAUAGGACGUUCGAUCCUAUUUUGUUGGCUUCUAGGAUUGACGUAAUGAUUAAUAGGGACAGUUGGGGGCAUUAGUAUUCAAUUGUCAGAGGUGAAAUUCUUGGAUUUAUUGAAGACUAACUACUGCGAAAGCAUUUGCCAAGGAUGUUUUCAUUAAUCAAGAACGAAAGUUAGGGGAUCGAAGACGAUCAGAUACCGUCGUAGUCUUAACCAUAAACUAUGCCGACUAGGGAUCGGAUGAUGUUAAUUUUUAAUGACUCAUUC